UGGAUGAUGUGGAUUAAUUCGAUGCAACGCGAAAACCUUACCUACCUUGACAUGUCCGGAAUCCCGAAGAGAUUUGGGAGUGCUCGCAAGAGAGCCGGAACACAGGUGCUGCAUGGCUGUCGUCAGCUCGUGUCGUGAGAUGUUGGGUUAAGUCCCGCAACGAGCGCAACCCUUGUCAUUAGUUGCCAUCAUUUGGUUGGGCACUCUAAUGAGACUGCCGGUGACAAACCGGAGGAAGGUGGGGAUGACGUCAAGUCCUCAUGGCCCUUAUGGGUAGGGCUUCACACGUCAUACAAUGGUCGGUACAGAGGGUUGCCAACCCGCGAGGGGGAGCUAAUCCCACAAAGCCGAUCGUAGUCCGGAUCGCAGUCUGCAACUCGACUGCGUGAAGUCGGAAUCGCUAGUAAUCGUGGAUCAGCAUGUCACGGUGAAUACGUUCCCGGGUCUU
RNAcentral lists this ribosomal RNA (448 nucleotides) under uncultured Rhodocyclaceae bacterium. Its description in RNAcentral is "bacterial SSU rRNA". It matches the Rfam family "Bacterial small subunit ribosomal RNA", at positions 933 to 1382 of the family's 1533-position model. Lineage: Bacteria; Pseudomonadati; Pseudomonadota; Betaproteobacteria; Rhodocyclales; Rhodocyclaceae. The record is from RNAcentral.